This 409-nucleotide ribosomal RNA is filed under the name bacterium. RNAcentral describes it as "partial 16S ribosomal RNA". It matches the Rfam family "Bacterial small subunit ribosomal RNA", at positions 355 to 776 of the family's 1533-position model. The record is from RNAcentral.
UGGGGAAUAUUGCACAAUGGGCGAAAGCCUGAUGCAGCGACGCCGCGUGAGGGAUGACGGCCUUCGGGUUGUAAACCUCUUUCAGUAGGGACGAAGCGCAAGUGACGGUACCUGCAGAAGAAGCACCGGCUAACUACGUGCCAGCAGCCGCUGUAAUACGUAGGGUGCGAGCGUUGUCCGGAAUUACUGGGCGUAAAGAGCUCGUAGGCGGUUUGUCACGUCGUCUGUGAAAUCCUAGGGCUUAACCCUGGACGUGCAGGCGAUACGGGCUGACUUGAGUACUACAGGGGAGACUGGAAUUUCUGGUGUAGCGGUGGAAUGCACAGAUAUCAGGAAGAACACCGAUGGCGAAGGCAGGUCUCUGGGUAGUAACUGACGCUGAGGAGCGAAAGCAUGGGUAGCGAACAGG